GGGGAAUUUUGGACAAUGGGCGAAAGCCUGAUCCAGCAAUGCCGCGUGCAGGAUGAAGGCCUUCGGGUUGUAAACUGCUUUUGUACGGAACGAAAAGCUUCGGGUUAAUACCCUGGAGCCAUGACGGUACCGUAAGAAUAAGCACCGGCUAACUACGUGCCAGCAGCCGCGGUAAUACGUAGGGUGCAAGCGUUAAUCGGAAUUACUGGGCGUAAAGCGUGCGCAGGCGGUUUUGUAAGACAGAGGUGAAAUCCCCGGGCUCAACCUGGGAACUGCCUUUGUGACUGCAAGGCUAGAGUACGGCAGAGGGGGAUGGAAUUCCGCGUGUAGCAGUGAAAUGCGUAGAUAUGCGGAGGAACACCGAUGGCGAAGGCAAUCCCCUGGGCCUGUACUGACGCUCAUGCACGAAAGCGUGGGGAGCAAAC
This 425-nucleotide ribosomal RNA is filed under the name uncultured bacterium. RNAcentral's name for it is "bacterial SSU rRNA". It matches the Rfam family "Bacterial small subunit ribosomal RNA", at positions 356 to 773 of the family's 1533-position model. The record is from RNAcentral.